Erpetoichthys calabaricus (reedfish) is the source of this 1703-nucleotide non-coding RNA. NCBI's taxonomy places the organism in Eukaryota, Metazoa, Chordata, Cladistia, Polypteriformes, Polypteridae. The record is from the annotation of a RefSeq genome assembly.
AGUAGCAUGGAAUGAGUCUGCCAAACUGAGAGACCACAGCAACAUUGCCAGUGUAGGACAGCUGGUCAUCAAUGCCACCCCAAGGUUGCCUACCGACUUGAGGAAAGCUGAAGAGCGACGAGCUGCGGAGCUGACAGACGGCCUGAGAUAAGCAGAAGGAAAAGGUCUGUGUUUGCCAGGCUGGGCUGCAGGGGGCACUCUGUCAACCUGGCUGCGAUGUCAGUGAGAUUUGCCACAGAGUUUCUAGGUGACAACGUGUGAGAGAAUGACAGGUACAGCUGCCUAUCACUGGGACAGCACGGGUGAGACGAGACGGGACAGGACAGGACACCUUAGUGAGGAUGGGCAGAGAGAGGAGAGACGAGGCCCACCAGCGACCAUUGGGAGAGCUCAGUCUUGCCUGGUGAACAUGUGACAGCUCUCUAUGCCAGCACAAAUGACAGUAGGCCUCAAAGUCCCUGAGGUUAGCCCCAGUGAUGCCAAGGUCAGAAGGGGUGGCAAGAGGGACAGCUGUACCUCACGAUUUGAGACUGUUAUGUCUUCAGUGCCAUACUGACAGCGUAAAGCAGACCACCAUCAUCGACUUCUGCUGAUUAUUAACAUCAGGACUGAGAUUAAAGUCGCGGACUGGGCGGGGGUGUAAAUGUCACGUCGGUCUUGAUGGUUUCUGUUUGUUUUUUCGGUAUCGUGAUUGCCGUGUGUGUCGGGGCAGCACCAUCCCGCUUCACGUGUUCUCCCCUGCCAGUUGUUAGCGGUUGAUUUCUGAGCUGACUGAGCCUCCCGUCCUCCUCGACUGCAAGCAGCAAUGCGACCUCAGCACUCCUACACGUCUGGGGUCGUCUACUGUAGAAAGUAUCCGCCAUUGCUUUGGAAACCAAAGCGACCAUCUAACGGGACGCGCUAACUGAACUUCACCCGCGUUGUGCCCAUAAUUAAAAAAAAGUAAAAAUAAGAAAACAUUUUAGGCUUUGAAUGUCAAGGAUCAGCACAGCGAGGGACCUCAGCGGGCAAACUGAUUCACAAAUCACACAGCUGCUCCUUAUAUACCGCCGCGCUCGUCACUUGUCACUCACUUCCUGCCAGGUGCACUGGGGGCUCGCGGCCAGCCCGCCGCCACUCCGCUCGGCGCACUCCGUCCGUCCGCAACAGCCAUGCGGUUCUUCUUCUGCUUCGUUCUUCUGUCGUGCUAUUCAGACAGAGGACUCGCCAUAGACUUGAUACAAGACAAGCUAACGGCCAUCAAGGGACCCAGGAAAACGGCUCGGAUCGCCUGUCGCCUGAGCGGCUCGGCCACCUACGUCCACUGGUAUCGGCAGAAGGACAGCGAGGCCCCGGAGCGCGUCCUGUACAUCCCCACGAGUGGGGGCAACCCGGUGCGCGACGACCCGACGCUCCGGCAAAAGUUCAAUGCUGAGAAAAAUAACGACGAGUACACGUUAAUCAUCGAUAACACCCAAGUGGAGGACUCGGCGACAUAUUACUGUGCCGCAUGGGAGUACCACACCGCUCGAGGGGCGCUGGCAGCCCGUUCAAAUACUCAUGUUCAACUGGAGCAUGACAGCAGGAGAAGGAAAUGCAGACACGGGGCACUGGCGGACAUCAUGGGGCACACCAUUGAUCUGAAACCCCCCUAUAGUGGCGUCUGCCUUUGUGGUGCAGCGCAGAGGACUUCUGAUUGUACCUGGUGCUGUGACUUUGUGUGA